GAACGCUGGCGGCAGGCUUAACACAUGCAAGUCGAACGCACUUUUCGGAGUGAGUGGCAGACGGGUGAGUAACGCGUGGGAAUCUACCUAUUUCUACGGAAUAACGCAGAGAAAUUUGUGCUAAUACCGUAUACGUCCUAAUGGAGAAAGAUUUAUCGGAGAUAGAUGAGCCCGCGUUGGAUUAGCUAGUUGGUGAGGUAAUGGCCCACCAAGGCGACGAUCCAUAGCUGGUCUGAGAGGAUGACCAGCCACAUUGGGACUGAGACACGGCC
RNAcentral lists this ribosomal RNA (272 nucleotides) under uncultured Bartonella sp. Its description in RNAcentral is "partial 16S ribosomal RNA". It matches the Rfam family "Bacterial small subunit ribosomal RNA", at positions 31 to 331 of the family's 1533-position model. Lineage: Bacteria; Pseudomonadati; Pseudomonadota; Alphaproteobacteria; Hyphomicrobiales; Bartonellaceae. The record is from RNAcentral.